RNAcentral lists this non-coding RNA (22 nucleotides) under Arabidopsis thaliana (thale cress). Lineage: Eukaryota; Viridiplantae; Streptophyta; Magnoliopsida; Brassicales; Brassicaceae. The record is from RNAcentral.
CUUUGCUGGAGUUUUGCCCAUG